Molecule: long non-coding RNA, 727 nt
Filed under: Medicago truncatula (barrel medic)
Lineage: Eukaryota; Viridiplantae; Streptophyta; Magnoliopsida; Fabales; Fabaceae
Description: long non-coding RNA (MTRU_LNC000461)
Source: RNAcentral
UCUGGUCAUGCUCGCUAUGGCGAGUAAGGUUGAUCGAUGUGGCGAGCUACGACUUGUAACUCGCGAGGCGAAGGGAAAUGGCUCACGUGGCGAGCGAUGAACUUCAUCACUCGCGAGGCGAGGAUCAUCGUUCGCGAGGGCGAGCGAUGAUUAUAGUCUCGGGCAGAAUGCAAUUUUUCACGAAAAUCCAACAUCUCACAUGGUUAAAAGCCUAAUUUCGAUUCCAGAAAUAAUCCUAUUCAUAAUCUAAGGUCAAAGAACAGUUUCUACAUCAAUCUAACCAAUUUUCACCGUUUAAUCAUCAAUUCUAUUAAUUUGACCUAAUUCUCGACUUCUCCAAUUCAAUCCUAUUUCUUGCUAAUUACAACCGGAUGGAUUACACGAUUAAUAAAAUUGAAGAGUUAGUCUCACCCUUACCUUAAUUGAAGAAAUCGCAGCUCUCUCUAUGACUUCUCCCUCCUAAGGCUUUUUCCUCCUUUUUCCAAAGUUUGAUCGUACGUACAAAGUGUUUCCUAAAACUAGGUUUUUCUCUUUUUAUAUCUCCUCAUAAAAUCUUAUCUUAUCUCACUUUCUCCCUCCUAUUUUAUUUUAUUUUCAAAUCUUAGUUUAUUAAACAACAAAAUAAGUCUCAUAACCUCAUAAAAAUCGUCACAACACAUAACUCAUCUAAAAUCAUCCAAAUCAUCUAAAUCGUCAUAAAUCAUCAUAAAUCACAUAAAUCGCACAU